RNA transcript from Cydia strobilella, 2789 nucleotides. It is a transcript of the gene named heterogeneous nuclear ribonucleoprotein M-like, with no coding region annotated. The transcript has 13 exons. Lineage: Eukaryota; Metazoa; Arthropoda; Insecta; Lepidoptera; Tortricidae. The record is from RefSeq and is a predicted model, not a curated record.
CCAAAAUAACAAAAAAAGAAAUCGAACCGCCAUUUUGUACAGUUUUGCGAGUGAUUUGUUUACUGAUAACCACUGUUAAUUUCUACUAAUUGAUACAGCAUUCUAUAAUUUUACGCUAGUUAAAAUAUUAUUAUAGGGUAUAGCAGCCAACAGUUCUGAUAACGAAAUGGAUAACCAAAGAGAGAAAGAACGCGACCGUUCAAAGCGUGGAGACAGGCCUUCCAGGUUUUCAGAUGCUCAAAGAGACCGAUCUAGUGACCGCGAAUCGCGGUCAGAUGGAAAACGCUUGUUCGUGUCCAACAUUCCAUACGAGUUUCGCUGGACUGAGCUAAAAGAUUUAUUCAAGGAAAAGGUUGGUGAUGUGGCAUACGUAGAGCUAUAUAAUGAUGACAAUGGGAAACCACGAGGGUGUGGUGUUGUUGAGUUCAGUAACACUGAGGCCAUGAAGAAAGCUCUCUUUGUUAUGCACAGAUAUGAACUCAAUGGAAGGAAGCUAGUGUUAAAAGAAGAGACAGGUAAUGAACGCAACAGGGUUGGGUCUGCCAGACAAGGUGGUGGGGGCGGUGGUGGCGGCAACAGGAACAACAGGGAUGAUAUUAAAGAUGGUUGGGGUAUGAUGAAACCGCGCGAACCUGAGAACUUCAACACGUACGGCCUCAGUCUCGAAUUCCUCGACUCCAUUAAUGUUCAGCCGCCGCUAGUGAAGAAAGUUUUCGUUGCCAACCUUGACUACAAAGCGGAUCGUGCCAAAAUAAAGGAAAUCUUCAAAAUGGCGGGUAAAGUCCGCAACAUAGACUUGGCGGUAGAUAAGGAUGGCAACAGCAGGGGAUUCGCCGUUAUUGAGUACGACCAUCCUGUUGAAGCCGUGCAGGCAAUAUCCAUGUUCGACAAGCAAAUGUUACAUGAACGUCGAAUGACAGUCCGAAUGGACCGAGGCAAUUCAGAAAAGUCAGAAUUUAGGCUGCCCGAGGGUCUAAAAGGCAUCGGCUUAGGCUUAGGACCUAACGGCGAACCACUAAGAGAUGUAGCGAGGAAUCUGCCUCAGAACUCCAAUGGGCCGAAUUUGAACAUGAAUAAUAGUAACUCUUCGCUGGGGACGGGAGUACUGGGGGCCGUGCCCACCGCCAGCGUGGCCCUCAACGGGCUAGGGGCUGGUCUAGCGGCUAACCCACUCACCACCAACACAUUAGGAGGAGGAUUGGGAUUACAGGCUCUAGGUCUAACCGGGCUAGGCGCCCUCCAGAACCAGCUCCUCCAGCAAGGUCUGACCGCCAGCGACCUGGCCACCAUGCUCACGGCGCAGGCGCAGGCGCAGGCGCAGGCCCAAGCGCAAGCGCAAGCCCAGGUGGCGCAUUCGGCCGGUGUCGGGGUCAAUGUGAACAGUGGCCUGAACCUGAAUAAUGACUUGAGCGCGCUCGGGAAUAAUCCUCAUAGUAAUGUCAUGGGAGGAAAUUCUUCUAUGAGCAGCGGGCCGCUUUCAGCUUCAAGCAGACAAAUGGUGGGAGUGACCGGAUCUGGACAGGGCUACGGCCGGGACUCCAGCAUCGUCCAGCAGAGCUCCCGCGACAAGUCGUCCGACAUGGUUGCUAUCACUAAUCUGCCGCCGACGGUGACGUGGCAGCUGAUCCGCGAGAAGUUCAGCGAGUGCGGCGACGUGAAGUUCGCGGAGAUGACCGGCGCCGACUCCGCCAUCGUGCGCUUCCACAAGGAGUGGGACGCCGAGCGGGCCAUCAAAAUGUUCGACAGGACCCGUAUUGACGGAAGAACUAUUGACGUCCGAUUUUUCUGAGACGAAGAAACAAGGUUACAAGAUGGAUUAAAAUAAAUGGAACUGACCAUUCCUUUGACCUCCAUUUGACCGCCAAAGAUGUCAACUGUCGGGCGCGGCUACAGAUUCACUUGCGCACACGAUAGCCGUGGGAUUUAAAGGGUCAAAAUUGACGGACCCGCCUUAUUUGGUAGAUGGUUAACAGAGGAUACGAUGCCCAAGGAGAUAAUACGAGGGGCGACUGUAAAGUUCUAAGCCUAAGGUACUUCGAGGUUGCAUAUGCGUUAACAGACCACUAAAAAUACCAUUUAAAAAGGAAAUUAUAAAAAAUAAAACAAAUGUCAUUUAUUUUAUUAUGUCUCGUGAUAUUCAAGGAUAUAGUUUAUCAUGUGUUUUCAACGCAUAUUAUAACUAUGAAAUUGAAGUCUGUAAAAAAUUGAGCACCGUGCUGUAAUUAAGUUCCUCACGAAAAAUAACAAAUCACCGCAAAGUAUUUUUGACGAAAAGCAAAGGCAUUUUGUUUUUGCAACACUAACGCACCCGUUCACACCGCUCGUGUUGCCAAGCUUGCUCUGAAGGAAACCGGCUUCAAAUAAAUUUACCACCUACCCUACAGUUUAGAUCUAUCCCGUAGCGAUUAUUUCCUAUCCAGUAAUUUGAAGAGACUUAAGAGGAAAACGAUUUGGAAGUGAUGAAGAAAUGAAAACAGCUGUACCUACAGGAACAUUAUGACAGCCAAUAAAAACUAACGUUCUAAAAGCAUUUCAUAUAAAAAAAUAUAAAUGCAUUGAAUUAUAGGGAGAUUAUUGAAAAAUAAAAAUUAGUUAAAUUUUAUUCAAUAGUUUUUUCUAUCUUAGGCUUAGAAAUUUUCAGUCGCCCCUCGUAUGCUCGCGUUGCUGCAAGCAAAGGUUACUCCAUUACAUUCUGGCUAGCAUGGUGAUAUUUUGAAUAGAAGUGUAGUUUUUAUUACCUAUAUAAUUUAUUUUUAUUACGAUUAUAUACCCACUUUUUCUGAUUAUUA